UUAGGAAUCUUACACAAUGGGGGCAACCCUGAUGUAGCGACGCCGCGUGGAGGAAGAAGGUUCUCGGAUCGUAAACUCCUUUUGUAUGGGAAGAAUAAAUGACGGUACCAUACGAAUAAGUGACUGCUAACUACGUGCCAGAAGCAUCGGUGAUGCGUAGGUCACGAACGUUAUCCGGAGUUAUUGGGUGUAAAGAGAUGCGUAGGCGUCUCAGUUAGUCUAAUGUCAAAGACCCCAGCUUACCUGGGGAAAGGCACCGGAUACUGCUGAGAUUGAGAUAAGAAGGGGCAAAUGGAAUUCCCGGUGUAGCGGUAAAAUGCGUUGAUAUCGGGAGGAACACCAGAGGCGAAGGCGAUUUGCUGGUCUUUAUCUGACGCUAAGGCUCGAAAGCGUGGGGAGCAAAACGG
Molecule: ribosomal RNA, 407 nt
Filed under: uncultured bacterium
Lineage: Bacteria
Description: bacterial SSU rRNA
Rfam family: Bacterial small subunit ribosomal RNA
Source: RNAcentral